CACCCCGUGGCAACACACACCACUGACACACUCAUCUUCCUACCUAUCUUUCUCUCUCUCGCACGGACACAGUACAAGCAUCAAGCAGCGCCACCGCCCUCCCGCCGCCGGCGCAGGGACCCUCCCCCUCCCCCUCCCUUGCUGUGUGCUGCUUGGGCAGGGACCGCCGCUCCCCUGCCUCCCUAGUCCCCACCGCUGCUGAGACGGACGCGAUUCCCUUGCCUAUCCACCUCCGUCGGCGGAGGCGCAGAGUUCGUCUCCACCAGAUCCUCGGUCGCGGACUCGAUGUGAGCGCUGGAGGGUUCUGCAGCGCCUACUUCCUCCUCCCGCGGGACAAGACGCAGAAUCGGAGCGAGCGCCGAGGAGCGCCGGCGAGUCCGCCUUGCUCCGAUGGGUUGGGCGUGUUGCGAGCUUCACCAUGUGGCCAAGUACAACGUGCUCCAGAGUGGAUGGUCGACGCCCUCCCCACCUCGCCCGUGACUGGUUUAGUUCUGACGGAAACAGCUAUGGGACAGGUACAACAUGAAGUUGGGUUCUAGUGUUUUAGCCACAGUGCAGGGAAGCAAGCUUGGAUUCACUGAAUGAUGUGUACACACCAAGUGCAACUCGCUUUCAUAAUAGCAAGCAACCCAUUUCUGAGGUACGUUCUAUUCGCUUGCAGCCCUUUUAAGAGUUUGAUCUCCUCUGAUGGUGUUGCUUGAUAAGCGGUGUUUAUCGAUGUGCUGUCUCAGAAAAGCGCUUUCUUCAGGACAACAUAUAAGAACAAUUUUUGCUUAAUUGUAUUGCAGAUAUUUAGAGAAGCAUGUACUGAAUUUGAUUGGCACAAAAUGAUUUGUCGUAGAUUGUCAUA
This is a long non-coding RNA of Triticum aestivum (bread wheat), 850 nucleotides long. RefSeq lists it as uncharacterized. NCBI's taxonomy places the organism in Eukaryota, Viridiplantae, Streptophyta, Magnoliopsida, Poales, Poaceae. The transcript has 3 exons. The record is from RefSeq and is a predicted model, not a curated record.